RNAcentral lists this ribosomal RNA (439 nucleotides) under uncultured bacterium. RNAcentral's name for it is "partial 16S ribosomal RNA". It matches the Rfam family "Bacterial small subunit ribosomal RNA", at positions 339 to 795 of the family's 1533-position model. The record is from RNAcentral.
CUACGGGUUGCAGCAGUGAGGAAUAUUGCACAAUGGGGGGAACCCUGAUGCAGCAACGCCGCGUGGAGGAUGACGCAUUUCGGUAUGUAAACUCCUUUUAUAUGUCAAGAAAAUGACGGUAGCAUAUGAAUAAGCACCGGCUAACUCCGUGCCAGCAGCCGCGGUAAUACGGAGGGUGCAAGCGUUACUCGGAAUCACUGGGCGUAAAGGACGCGUAGGCGGAUUGGAAAGUCAGGUGUGAAAUCCUACAGCUUAACUGUAGAACUGCACUUGAAACUUCUAAUCUAGAGUAUGGGAGGGGGAGAUGGAAUUAGUGGUGUAGGGGUGAAAUCCGUAGAUAUCACUAGGAAUACCUAAAGCGAAGGCGAUCUCCUGGAACAUUACCGACGCUAAGGCGUGAAAGCGUGGGGAGCAAACAGGAUUAGAUACCCGCGUAGUC